GACGAACGCUGGCGGCGUGCUUAACACAUGCAAGUCGAACGGAAAGGCCUUUUCGGAGGUACUCGAGUGGCGAACGGGUGAGUAACACGUGGGUGAUCUGCCCUGCACUCUGGGAUAAGCCUGGGAAACUGGGUCUAAUACCGGAUAGGACCGCACUUUAGUGUGUGUGGUGGAAAGUUUUUUCGGUGUAGGAUGAGCCCGCGGCCUAUCAGCUUGUUGGUGGGGUAAUGGCCUACCAAGGCGGCGACGGGUAGCCGGACUGAGAGGUUGGUCGGCCACAUUGAGACUGAGAGACGGACCAGACUGCGACGGGAGGGAGAAGUGGGGAAUAUUGAACAAGGGGCGCAAGCCUGAUGCAGAGACGCCGCGGGUGGGAUGACGGUCUUCGGGUUGUAGACUCAUUGCGCCAGGAACGAAGCGUUUUGUGACGGUACCUGGAGAAGAAGCACCGGCUAACUACGUG
Molecule: ribosomal RNA, 463 nt
Filed under: uncultured bacterium
Lineage: Bacteria
Description: partial 16S ribosomal RNA
Rfam family: Bacterial small subunit ribosomal RNA
Source: RNAcentral